GUGUCAGCAGCCGCGGUAAAACGUAGGACGCAAGCGUUAUCCGGAGUUACUGGGCGUAAAGCGCGGGCAGGCGGCCCGUUCAGUCUGAGGUGAAAGCGCCCGGCUCAACCGGGCGAGGCCCUUGGAAACUGGCGGGCUGGAGGGCAGUAGAGGCAGGCGGAAUUCCGGGUGGAGUGGUGAAAUGCGUAGAGAUCCGGAGGAACACCAGAGGCGAAGGCGGCCUGCUGGGCUGCACCUGACGCUGAGCCGCGAAAGCCAGGGGAGCGAACGGGAUUAGAUACCCUUGUAGUCC
This 292-nucleotide ribosomal RNA is filed under the name uncultured bacterium. RNAcentral describes it as "partial 16S ribosomal RNA". It matches the Rfam family "Bacterial small subunit ribosomal RNA", at positions 505 to 796 of the family's 1533-position model. The record is from RNAcentral.